This 92-nucleotide microRNA precursor is filed under the name Podarcis lilfordi (Lilford's wall lizard). The record is from RNAcentral. Lineage: Eukaryota; Metazoa; Chordata; Lepidosauria; Squamata; Lacertidae.
UCCAGCUGUUUUGGGACUACAAUUCCCACCAUCCCUGACCACUGGUCCUGUUAGCUAGGGAUGAUGGGAGCUGUAGUCCCAAAAGAGCUGGA